AACGAAAUGCACGUGAGAAAGCGGGCGAUGGAAUGGUUGCUCGAGCGUUUAUGUUGAAUUGGGGUACACCAGUGCAAAAUAUAGUUUGCGGUUCUACGCCCCCUUGCCAACGGGAGCCCCUCCAAGGCCCUUGGCAACUGCACCUAGCAAUGGGAGUGACAUCCCAGCAUUCAUGACCUGUAAAAGAUAUGAAAAGGGUUUAAUGUCCUGGCAACAGCCAGGGGCAUGUAAGGAUGGAUGUGAAGAGAGACAUUAAGGCUAGAAAACAAAAAACAGGAAGAAAGAGCAGACAGGAAAAAAAGGGAAAUAUCAAGAUCCAAAAUAUCACUAUAUGAAGACAGCAGAUGUGUUCCCUUGGUAGAGGACAUGGAAAAGAGCCCAGAUUCUGUAGAGAGCUAACAAUCAGACAGAGAAAUACAUGCAGCAGACCAUAUUCUUGGGCCCUCUGAUGUCCAAUAACAGAAUAUGCUGUAUGAAGUAUAAGUCAAGUUCAACUGAAGAGGUUAUAUGUCUUCUAACAAAACAAACACUGUGGAGUAUCCCUUUCAUUUCUUUAACAAGAACAAAUAAAGUAAUUCAACAUAUCACAGUCCCCAGCAAAUUUGAGAAUAUAUGUAAAAUGAAAUUUUCCUUGAUGUAAAGGUCAAACUGUAGGUAAGUGUGACCUGUUUU
Molecule: long non-coding RNA, 672 nt
Organism: Ylistrum balloti
Lineage: Eukaryota; Metazoa; Mollusca; Bivalvia; Pectinida; Pectinidae
Exons: 3
Source: RefSeq, a predicted model, not a curated record